UUCCAUCCUCUCCCCGUGUUCGCACCCCGACCCAGGCCACCUUCCAUCCUCGCGCCCCCUCGCCCGCCUCCUCCUCCACGCACAUCGCCGGAUCCGCGCGCGACGAAUCCUCCACGCAGACCUCGCCCGCCUCCUCCUCGACGCCCCCUUGCCCGCCUCCUCCUCCACGGAUCCGCGCCGGACGAAUCCUCCACGCAGACCUCGCCCGCCUUCUCCUCGACGCCCCCUCGCCAGGCUCCUCCUCCACGCAGAUCGCCGCGACCCAGGCCAGGACGCGCGGAUCCACACCAGGUCGCGCGGAUCCGGCGACCCGCCGCGCUCCA
Molecule: long non-coding RNA, 323 nt
Filed under: Sorghum bicolor (sorghum)
Lineage: Eukaryota; Viridiplantae; Streptophyta; Magnoliopsida; Poales; Poaceae
Description: long non-coding RNA (SBIC_LNC002393)
Source: RNAcentral